RNAcentral lists this ribosomal RNA (253 nucleotides) under uncultured bacterium. RNAcentral's name for it is "partial 16S ribosomal RNA". It matches the Rfam family "Bacterial small subunit ribosomal RNA", at positions 524 to 776 of the family's 1533-position model. The record is from RNAcentral.
UACGUAGGGUGCGAGCGUUGUCCGGAAUUACUGGGCGUAAAGGGCUCGUAGGCGGCCAACUAAGUCAGACGUGAAAUCCCUCGGCUUAACCGGGGAACUGCGUCUGAUACUGGAUGGCUUGAGUUCGGGAGAGGGAUGCGGAAUUCCAGGUGUAGCGGUGAAAUGCGUAGAUAUCUGGAGGAAUACCGGUGGCGAAGGCGGCAUCCUGGACCGACAUUGACGCUGAUGAGCGAAAGCUAGGGGAGCAAACGGG